Hordeum vulgare subsp. vulgare (domesticated barley) is the source of this 125-nucleotide non-coding RNA. The record is from Rfam. Lineage: Eukaryota; Viridiplantae; Streptophyta; Magnoliopsida; Poales; Poaceae.
GUUAUACUUUCUCCGUCCGAAAAUACUUGUCAUAAAAAUGGAUGUAUGUAAAUGUAUUUUAGAUUUAGAUAUAUCCAUUUUUAUUCAUUUGUGCGACAAAUAAUUCCGGACGAAAAGAGUAUGUA